GCCGGGCAUGGUGGUGCGUGCCUGUAAUCCCAGCUACUUGGGAGGCUGAGGCAGGAGAAUUGCUUGAACCUAGGAGGCAGAGGUUGCAUUGAGCUGAGAUUGCGCCAUUGCACUCCAGCCUGGGCAACAGAGUAAGACUCUGUCUCAA
Molecule: non-coding RNA, 148 nt
Filed under: Homo sapiens (human)
Lineage: Eukaryota; Metazoa; Chordata; Mammalia; Primates; Hominidae
Source: Rfam by way of RNAcentral